Long non-coding RNA from Tupaia belangeri chinensis (Chinese tree shrew), 638 nucleotides. RefSeq lists it as uncharacterized. The transcript has 4 exons. Lineage: Eukaryota; Metazoa; Chordata; Mammalia; Scandentia; Tupaiidae. The record is from RefSeq and is a predicted model, not a curated record.
CCCCGCCCUCGGAGCUCGCAGCCUAGCCAGCGAGAAUCUCCUGGAAGUGCGAGUUGCUUAGACGAAGUCACACACCCACGGAGGGAAGUGAUCUGGAGGCUGCCGUGAGUCUGUGAUCUUGACCAUCAUUCAAUACUUCAUCUCAAAAAAGGCAAAAGUAUCCCAAGGACUACUCCUGACCCAUUGCCCAUAACUCUCUCAGAUUUUAAACUCAAUGGCGAUAUGGACCCUGUGGUUUACCAUUCUAUCCCAGUGUGCACCACCGCUCUCGGAUGAAAACGGGCCACAUUUGCUAUUGUGCAAAAGUAUAAAAUGGGUUUCAAGUGAUCAGGUCUUUUAGAAUGAGUUGGUAUCCUACGAUUUCUGUGGCCCAGAGAAUUCCCAGAUGUGGGCACAGUAUGAGGGUUCUGCUUUUGAUCCCAAGGAAACAUUUCAAGCCUUAUAUUACUGAAGACAAAGGGGACAUCCUAAAUUUAAAAAGCGGAAGUACUUGAAGUACUCCUUCCUGGGUUGGAGUCACAUCAGCCAGCUCUUCCCACAUUGCUUCGUUUCACCAUCUCUCAAGGACUUCUCUAUUUGCAUAUAACCAUCUUCACUCUUAGAUUUUGCCACAGGGCACAUGCACUCACCAGAGACGG